UGGCUCGUAGCUCAGUUGGUAGAGCGUCUGACUGUUAAUCAGAUUGUCGUAGGUUCAAGCCCUAUCGAGUCAG
Molecule: transfer RNA, 73 nt
Filed under: Caudoviricetes sp.
Lineage: Duplodnaviria; Heunggongvirae; Uroviricota; Caudoviricetes
Description: tRNA-Asn
Rfam family: tRNA
About the family: Transfer RNA (tRNA) molecules are approximately 80 nucleotides in length. Their secondary structure includes four short double-helical elements and three loops (D, anti-codon, and T loops).
Source: RNAcentral